CCAUUGAGAGAAGCCGCUCUGAGCUGAUACGGCUCAUCAGAGAUCAGGAAAAGACUGCAGUGAGUCGAGCUGAAGGACGACUGGAGCGACUGGAGCAGGAGAUCAAUGAUCUGAGGAGGAGAGACGCUGAGCUGGAGCAGCUGGAGCACACACAGGAUCACAUCCAGUUCCUGCAGAGUUUCCAGUCUCUCUCAGCACCUCCUGAAUCUACAGACGUAAAUGAUGAUCUCUUCAGUUCUCUCGUCUCUUCUGAUGCUCUGAGAGAAUCUGUUCAUCAGCUGAGAGACAAACUGGAGGAUUUCUGCAAAGAGGAGCUCAAGAAGAUCUCAGACAGAGUCAUUUCCAC
Molecule: long non-coding RNA, 346 nt
Organism: Sinocyclocheilus anshuiensis
Lineage: Eukaryota; Metazoa; Chordata; Actinopteri; Cypriniformes; Cyprinidae
Exons: 3
Source: RefSeq, a predicted model, not a curated record